RNAcentral lists this ribosomal RNA (291 nucleotides) under uncultured Azospirillum sp. Its description in RNAcentral is "partial 16S ribosomal RNA". It matches the Rfam family "Bacterial small subunit ribosomal RNA", at positions 505 to 795 of the family's 1533-position model. The record is from RNAcentral. Lineage: Bacteria; Pseudomonadati; Pseudomonadota; Alphaproteobacteria; Rhodospirillales; Azospirillaceae.
GUGGCAGCAGCCGCGGUAAUACGAAGGGGGCUAGCGUUGUUCGGAAUUACUGGGCGUAAAGGGCGCGUAGGCGGCCUGUUUAGUCAGAAGUGAAAGCCCCGGGCUCAACCUGGGAAUAGCUUUUGAUACUGGCAGGCUUGAGUUCCGGAGAGGAUGGUGGAAUUCCCAGUGUAGAGGUGAAAUUCGUAGAUAUUGGGAAGAACACCGGUGGCGAAGGCGGCCAUCUGGACGGACACUGACGCUGAGGCGCGAAAGCGUGGGGAGCAAACAGGAUUAGAUACCCGAGUAGUC